This 2921-nucleotide ribosomal RNA is filed under the name Staphylococcus aureus. Its description in RNAcentral is "bacterial LSU rRNA". It matches the Rfam family "Bacterial large subunit ribosomal RNA". Lineage: Bacteria; Bacillati; Bacillota; Bacilli; Caryophanales; Staphylococcaceae. The record is from RNAcentral.
UUAAGUUAUUAAGGGCGCACGGUGGAUGCCUUGGCACUAGAAGCCGAUGAAGGACGUUACUAACGACGAUAUGCUUUGGGGAGCUGUAAGUAAGCUUUGAUCCAGAGAUUUCCGAAUGGGGAAACCCAGCAUGAGUUAUGUCAUGUUAUCGAUAUGUGAAUACAUAGCAUAUCAGAAGGCACACCCGGAGAACUGAAACAUCUUAGUACCCGGAGGAAGAGAAAGAAAAUUCGAUUCCCUUAGUAGCGGCGAGCGAAACGGGAAGAGCCCAAACCAACAAGCUUGCUUGUUGGGGUUGUAGGACACUCUAUACGGAGUUACAAAGGACGACAUUAGACGAAUCAUCUGGAAAGAUGAAUCAAAGAAGGUAAUAAUCCUGUAGUCGAAAAUGUUGUCUCUCUUGAGUGGAUCCUGAGUACGACGGAGCACGUGAAAUUCCGUCGGAAUCUGGGAGGACCAUCUCCUAAGGCUAAAUACUCUCUAGUGACCGAUAGUGAACCAGUACCGUGAGGGAAAGGUGAAAAGCACCCCGGAAGGGGAGUGAAAUAGAACCUGAAACCGUGUGCUUACAAGUAGUCAGAGCCCGUUAAUGGGUGAUGGCGUGCCUUUUGUAGAAUGAACCGGCGAGUUACGAUUUGAUGCAAGGUUAAGCAGUAAAUGUGGAGCCGUAGCGAAAGCGAGUCUGAAUAGGGCGUUUAGUAUUUGGUCGUAGACCCGAAACCAGGUGAUCUACCCUUGGUCAGGUUGAAGUUCAGGUAACACUGAAUGGAGGACCGAACCGACUUACGUUGAAAAGUGAGCGGAUGAACUGAGGGUAGCGGAGAAAUUCCAAUCGAACCUGGAGAUAGCUGGUUCUCUCCGAAAUAGCUUUAGGGCUAGCCUCAAGUGAUGAUUAUUGGAGGUAGAGCACUGUUUGGACGAGGGGCCCCUCUCGGGUUACCGAAUUCAGACAAACUCCGAAUGCCAAUUAAUUUAACUUGGGAGUCAGAACAUGGGUGAUAAGGUCCGUGUUCGAAAGGGAAACAGCCCAGACCACCAGCUAAGGUCCCAAAAUAUAUGUUAAGUGGAAAAGGAUGUGGCGUUGCCCAGACAACUAGGAUGUUGGCUUAGAAGCAGCCAUCAUUUAAAGAGUGCGUAAUAGCUCACUAGUCGAGUGACACUGCGCCGAAAAUGUACCGGGGCUAAACAUAUUACCGAAGCUGUGGAUUGUCCUUUGGACAAUGGUAGGAGAGCGUUCUAAGGGCGUUGAAGCAUGAUCGUAAGGACAUGUGGAGCGCUUAGAAGUGAGAAUGCCGGUGUGAGUAGCGAAAGACGGGUGAGAAUCCCGUCCACCGAUUGACUAAGGUUUCCAGAGGAAGGCUCGUCCGCUCUGGGUUAGUCGGGUCCUAAGCUGAGGCCGACAGGCGUAGGCGAUGGAUAACAGGUUGAUAUUCCUGUACCACCUAUAAUCGUUUUAAUCGAUGGGGGGACGCAGUAGGAUAGGCGAAGCGUGCGAUUGGAUUGCACGUCUAAGCAGUAAGGCUGAGUAUUAGGCAAAUCCGGUACUCGUUAAGGCUGAGCUGUGAUGGGGAGAAGACAUUGUGUCUUCGAGUCGUUGAUUUCACACUGCCGAGAAAAGCCUCUAGAUAGAAAAUAGGUGCCCGUACCGCAAACCGACACAGGUAGUCAAGAUGAGAAUUCUAAGGUGAGCGAGCGAACUCUCGUUAAGGAACUCGGCAAAAUGACCCCGUAACUUCGGGAGAAGGGGUGCUCUUUAGGGUUAACGCCCAGAAGAGCCGCAGUGAAUAGGCCCAAGCGACUGUUUAUCAAAAACACAGGUCUCUGCUAAACCGUAAGGUGAUGUAUAGGGGCUGACGCCUGCCCGGUGCUGGAAGGUUAAGAGGAGUGGUUAGCUUCUGCGAAGCUACGAAUCGAAGCCCCAGUAAACGGCGGCCGUAACUAUAACGGUCCUAAGGUAGCGAAAUUCCUUGUCGGGUAAGUUCCGACCCGCACGAAAGGCGUAACGAUUUGGGCACUGUCUCAACGAGAGACUCGGUGAAAUCAUAGUACCUGUGAAGAUGCAGGUUACCCGCGACAGGACGGAAAGACCCCGUGGAGCUUUACUGUAGCCUGAUAUUGAAAUUCGGCACAGCUUGUACAGGAUAGGUAGGAGCCUUUGAAACGUGAGCGCUAGCUUACGUGGAGGCGCUGGUGGGAUACUACCCUAGCUGUGUUGGCUUUCUAACCCGCACCACUUAUCGUGGUGGGAGACAGUGUCAGGCGGGCAGUUUGACUGGGGCGGUCGCCUCCUAAAAGGUAACGGAGGCGCUCAAAGGUUCCCUCAGAAUGGUUGGAAAUCAUUCAUAGAGUGUAAAGGCAUAAGGGAGCUUGACUGCGAGACCUACAAGUCGAGCAGGGUCGAAAGACGGACUUAGUGAUCCGGUGGUUCCGCAUGGAAGGGCCAUCGCUCAACGGAUAAAAGCUACCCCGGGGAUAACAGGCUUAUCUCCCCCAAGAGUUCACAUCGACGGGGAGGUUUGGCACCUCGAUGUCGGCUCAUCGCAUCCUGGGGCUGUAGUCGGUCCCAAGGGUUGGGCUGUUCGCCCAUUAAAGCGGUACGCGAGCUGGGUUCAGAACGUCGUGAGACAGUUCGGUCCCUAUCCGUCGUGGGCGUAGGAAAUUUGAGAGGAGCUGUCCUUAGUACGAGAGGACCGGGAUGGACAUACCUCUGGUGUACCAGUUGUCGUGCCAACGGCAUAGCUGGGUAGCUAUGUGUGGACGGGAUAAGUGCUGAAAGCAUCUAAGCAUGAAGCCCCCCUCAAGAUGAGAUUUCCUAACUUCGGUUAUAAGAUCCCUCAAAGAUGAUGAGGUUAAUAGGUUCGAGGUGGAAGCAUGGUGACAUGUGGAGCUGACGAAUACUAAUCGAUCGAAGACUUAAUCAA